RNAcentral lists this long non-coding RNA (199 nucleotides) under Panax ginseng (ginseng). RNAcentral's name for it is "long non-coding RNA (PGIN_LNC017524)". The record is from RNAcentral. Lineage: Eukaryota; Viridiplantae; Streptophyta; Magnoliopsida; Apiales; Araliaceae.
AGAAUACGAAGCGUUCAUACUAGGAUUGUUGGCGGCUCAAGAGUUGGGAGCCAAAUAUCUUAAAGUAAAGGGAGAUUCAAACCUUAUAGUGUAGCAGAUAAGAGGCCAAUUCGGAGUGAAGGAACCUAUCUUGGCGCCGUAUCGAACUGUAACACAAAAGGUGAUGGAGGCUUACAAGAAGGUGGUGAUUGAAUAUGUG